GUCAAAAUCGGACGACGCCGAUUUGCACAGCCCUAGUUUGAGAAAACAUUCCGCACUGGUUCAUUUUGUUGAAUUGACGGUCGGCAAUUGCCGCGCACCCCU
This is a non-coding RNA of Caenorhabditis elegans, 102 nucleotides long. The record is from Ensembl. NCBI's taxonomy places the organism in Eukaryota, Metazoa, Nematoda, Chromadorea, Rhabditida, Rhabditidae.